GAUGAAAGAGGGAGGCGUGCCUAAUACAUGCAAGUCGAGCGAACAGACGAGGAGCUUGCUCCUUUGACGUUAGCGGCGGACGGGUGAGUAACACGUGGAUAACCUACCUAUAAGACUGGGAUAACUUCGGGAAACCGGAGCUAAUACCGGAUAACAUGUUGAACCGCAUGGUUCAACAGUGAAAGACGGUCUUGCUGUCACUUAUAGAUGGAUCCGCGCCGCAUUAGCUAGUUGGUAAGGUAACGGCUUACCAAGGCAACGAUGCGUAGCCGACCUGAGAGGGUGAUCGGCCACACUGGAACUGAGACACGGUCCAGACUCCUACGGGAGGCAGCAGUAGGGAAUCUUCCGCAAUGGGCGAAAGCCUGACGGAGCAACGCCGCGUGAGUGAAGAAGGUCUUCGGAUCGUAAAACUCUGUUAUUAGGGAAGAACAAAUGUGUAAGUAACUAUGCACGUCUUGACGGUACCUAAUCAGAAAGCCACGGCUAACUACGU
RNAcentral lists this ribosomal RNA (496 nucleotides) under uncultured bacterium. RNAcentral's name for it is "partial 16S ribosomal RNA". It matches the Rfam family "Bacterial small subunit ribosomal RNA", at positions 28 to 506 of the family's 1533-position model. The record is from RNAcentral.